UCGCAAUGCCCGAAAGGGUGACGAAGCGACGCCGCGUGCGGGAAGAAGGCCUUCGGGUUGUAAACCGCUGUCGGGAGUUAAGAAAUGUAAGGAUGUUAAUAGCAUCUUUGCUUGACUAAGGCUCCGGAGGAAGCCACGGCUAACUCUGUGCCAGCAGCCGCGGUAAUACAGAGGCGGCAAGCGUUGUUCGGAAUUAUUGGGCGUAAAGAGCACGUAGGCGGCUAUGUAAGUCGGUUGUGAAAGCCUUCCGCUCAACGGGAGAACAGCAUCCGAUACUGCAUGGCUUGAGUGCGGGAGGGGAGAGUGGAACUUCUGGUGGAGCGGUGAAAUGCGUAGAUAUCAGAAGGAACGCCGGCGGCGAAAGCGGCUCUCUGGCCCAUAACUGACGCUGAGUGUGCGAAAGCUAGGGGAGCAAACGGGAUUAGAUACCCCGGUAGUCCUAGCCGUAAGCGAUGGGCACUAAGUAGAGGGGUUUU
RNAcentral lists this ribosomal RNA (476 nucleotides) under uncultured Planctomycetales bacterium. Its description in RNAcentral is "bacterial SSU rRNA". It matches the Rfam family "Bacterial small subunit ribosomal RNA", at positions 366 to 832 of the family's 1533-position model. Lineage: Bacteria; Pseudomonadati; Planctomycetota; Planctomycetia; Planctomycetales. The record is from RNAcentral.